GAGUUUGAUCUUGGCUCAGGAUGAACGCUGGCGGCGUGCUUAACACAUGCAAGUCGAACGAAGCGCCUUAUUUGAUUUUCUUCGGAACUGAAGAUUUGGUGACUGAGUGGCGGACGGGUGAGUAACGCGUGGGUAACCUGCCCUGUACAGGGGGAUAACAAUCAGAAAUGACUGCUAAUACCGCAUAAGACCACAGCACCGCAUGGUGCAGGGGUAAAAACUCCGGUGGUACAGGAUGGACCCGCGUCUGAUUAGCUGGUUGGUGAGGUAACGGCUCACCAAGGCGACGAUCAGUAGCCGGCUUGAGAGAGUGAACGGCCACAUUGGGACUGAGACACGGCCCAAACUCCUACGGGAGGCAGCAGUGGGGAAUAUUGCACAAUGGGGAAACCCUGAUGCAGCAACGCCGCGUGAGUGAAGAAGUAUUUCGGUAUGUAAAGCUCUAUCAGCAGGGAAGAAAGUGACGGUACCUGACUAAGAAGCCCCGGCUAACUACGUGCCAGCAGCCGCCGUAACACC
RNAcentral lists this ribosomal RNA (519 nucleotides) under uncultured microorganism. RNAcentral's name for it is "bacterial SSU rRNA". It matches the Rfam family "Bacterial small subunit ribosomal RNA", at positions 9 to 527 of the family's 1533-position model. The record is from RNAcentral.